This 836-nucleotide long non-coding RNA is filed under the name Mytilus galloprovincialis (Mediterranean mussel). The record is from RNAcentral. Lineage: Eukaryota; Metazoa; Mollusca; Bivalvia; Mytilida; Mytilidae.
UGCUUUUAACAGUUAAACGUUUCUGUCUAUUAGUGUUCCUCAAUCUUGCGAAAGGUAAGAAAUCAUAAGUUUAAUAAGAGACAACUUUGAUCAGUAAACAAUGUAGAGUUCAUAAAACGUUUACAUAUUUGAUACUCACACGUUGUUUUAUCAAGUCAUACGUUAUAAUUUUUCGAUUGCUCAAAUCUAUCGUCCCCAUAAAAACAAUGUAUUAAACUUGAGACCUUGGCACUAAAAUGAUACAAAACAUACGGAGUAGUUUGCAACAAUGUGAUAAUUUUAAAUUCCUUCCAUUUUAAACAUAUUAAAUAUAUCAAAAAAGAGCUCCAUGACCUAUAAAUAUUUCUACCCAUUUUCCCCCUACAUGUAUAUACUGCUCUCAUCACUUUUUGUAUCAAUAUUGAAUUCUAGACUUUUUAAUUUUAUCGAAGUACACUCAUAUUAGAUUUUAAAAAAUCGUUUACCUAUAGCGACCGUUGACGCUGACAGGAACAGGAGAGCAGAUAUAUUUCCUUUCAUCAUUUGAUAAAUAUUGAAAAACACUUGUAUUUGAAUGUUUUGAAUUUAAUACCAAUAUUAUGUUUUUCUGUGUAGGAGACGAUUCUAUCAAUUUCAAUAUAAGGUUGAUGAAAUGUAUCGAUGGAAAGGGUACGUUAAGCCUUACUUGCACUGUGCAGCAUCUGAAUGUGAUGAAAAUACUUAAAAAUGGCGUCGAAGUUUCACAGUGUUUAACCUUCCCCGAAUAUCCAUAUAAAUAUUGUGAGCACAGCUCUCCACAGGAUGGGAACGCCAAGACAAAUUUACAUAACUGUUCUAUGACUUACACGAUCGAAACA